Molecule: long non-coding RNA, 549 nt
Organism: Solanum verrucosum
Lineage: Eukaryota; Viridiplantae; Streptophyta; Magnoliopsida; Solanales; Solanaceae
Exons: 3
Source: RefSeq, a predicted model, not a curated record
GGCUGCCCCUUUCUUUCGCUUAUUUACUACUUUUCUUUGCUUUUCUUAUACUAUCAACUGCUUCAUUAAUGCCGUCCCAGUCACAAGAAGCAGAAGUUUGGUACUACUAGACAUAUCUCAAGAACAUAAUGUACUUUCAGAGAAUAUAAUUCGUAUGGAAAAAACAAGAAGAGAAGUACUAGAGGCUGAAGAGAUGAUAAACGAUUAUCCAGGUUCUGGGGCGAAUAAUCGUCAUACUCCAAGGUCCCAAUUAGGAAGAGGAUGUGUUGAAUGCUAGAUAAUAUAAUAUCUAUAUAUAUGUUUUUAAGAUAAUUAACUGUGUUAAGUACCAUUUUAAUCAUAAUUGGCUCAUAUUUUGAAUAGCUAAUUAAGAAAGUUAAUGAUCGUGUGGAUAAUCUCUGUGAUCAGAUAUAUCAGAUCUAGCUAGUAGCUUAGUUGAUGAAUUGGUUGAGGAGUACUUAUUAAUUAGCAGUAUUAUAUAUGUUCUAUAUGUAGUGUACUUAUUUAUGUUAUGAUUCAUAUUAAUUAUAUGAACUUUGUUUGGUAUCA